Molecule: ribosomal RNA, 406 nt
Filed under: uncultured bacterium
Lineage: Bacteria
Description: partial 16S ribosomal RNA
Rfam family: Bacterial small subunit ribosomal RNA
Source: RNAcentral
AUUGAACGCUGGCGGCAGGCUUAACACAUGCAAGUCGAGCGAGCGGCGGACGGGUGAGUAAUGUCUGGGAAACUGCCUGCUGGAGGGGGGUCACUACUGGAAACGGUAGCUAAUACCGCAUACCAUCAGAUGUGCCCAGAUGGGAUGAGCUAGUAGGUGGGGGAAUGGCUCACCUAGGCGACGAUCCCUAGCUGGUCUGAGAGGAUGACCAGCCACACUGGAACUGAGACACGGUCCAGACUCCUACGGGAGGCAGCAGUGGGGAAUAUUGCACAAUGGGCGCAAGCCUGAUGCAGCCAUGCCGCGUGUGUGAAGAAGGCCUUCGGGUUGUAAAGCACUUUCAGCGAGGAGGCGUUACUCGCAGAAGAAGCACCGGCUAACUCCGUGCCAGCCGCCGCGGUAAUAC